GUUCGCCUCCGUAAACGUGGAGAUACGUCCCGUCGAGAUGCAGUGGAAGCUGGAUUCGAACCGAGAGAUACUGUUCCACGAUGUCAUUCAACACAGUCGUUGAGAGAUGUUCAACGUGUUCGAUCAUACAACAAUUCACAGUUUCAGGUAAUAUAUUAAAUUUUAUUCCGAAGUUACUUCUUCUGGGUCCAAAAAAUAAUUAUUAACCAAAAAACAUUUAAAAAAAUGGUUUUGAUUUUGGGUCAAAGUACGAUAAAUUAAAAUUUUCAAAAAACCAAAAAAUGUAAUGGUUGAAUUUAUUUUUGUAAAACCAUGAAAAGUGCAAUUUGUCUCCGUUUUGUUUUGAGAUCUAAAAACAAAAAAAAAACAAUUUCUCACCGAAAUACUAACAAAAAAAAACAAAAAUCCGAAAAAAAAAUCCCAGCCCUGAUAUGUAUUUUACGGACACAUUUUGUUGAAAUGCAGUAAAUUCGAUGCGAAUCUCGAAAAAAAAUGUGGAUAUUGAUUUUUGAAAAUAAUUUUUCUGGCCUUAUUUAUCGCUGAUUCUGUUAUUUUCGAAUUCUUGUUGGACGGAAAGAUAUCUCGAGAGAUCAUGUGUUUACAGCAUUUUAACUAUGGGAUUUACGAAAAAAAAAACAAUUUUGAGCCAACUUCCUAUUUAUUUUUCAAGCAUUUCAAUUUAGAUUUGACCUUUCAAAUUUUUGCCGAAAUUUACUUCAAAAAAUAACCUAAUUGUUUUUUUCCUACGUUGUGAAUGAUGAGUAGCAAAACCCGUUAGAUGUCGGGCCAUGCGUAACGAGUCAUAGGAAUGCCGAUCAAAAACAUUCUCUCAUCGUUUUUUUUCUUUUUUAUUUCUAAAAAACCAAAAAUCUAUUUUUCAAAAAAUACCAAAACAAUCAAAAGAGAAUGUUUAAAAAUAAAUUUGUUCUUUUAUUUUGAAUCUUCAGCAAUUUUACAUUUAUCAAGUUCAAAAUUUUAUUUAUAAAACCCAAAAACUAUUUCCUAUUGUAUUGAUUUUUCAAAUAGAAGUAGUGAAUAUAUUUUUCUCCCAAUUCAUAAAAAUGUGAAGACUUGGAUAUUUGAUUCUGAAAAUUUAAUCUUUACAAUAAUUCGACAGUUUGUUGCUUGCUGAAUGUUUCCCGCCCUCUUGUUUUGAGUAAAAAAUAUAAAUUGAAUGUUCUCAGGCCAGUGAUCUUUCACUCAAUCCAAAUGGAAGUAUUCGUGCUGCUUGUGACAGUACAAGUGGAUCUGUCGCCCCAACAGCAGUUGUAAAUCCUGCCCGGAAUCAUGUCAUUUCACAUCGACAACAACAUCAUACAAGCUACGAGAAGGAUCUUAUUCCCCAUCAUAACAUUGAUGUGGAUCGUCGCCGUAGUUUGCAAGCUCUCAAUGGCUGUAAGUUUUCAUUUUUUAUAUCAAUUUGUUGUAGGAUACUGUGAGCGCCGACAGUUUAGUGAUAAAGUUGAGUUUUCUCUGAGUGGACGAAACGAAACGAAAUAGAAACAUUGAGCAAGACCACAGAUAGUGAGGAAAACUGGAGGUUUUGUGUGAAUCGCGACCACCGAUUGAAUUGAAUUGAAGUGAGCACACACACACACACCCAGCACACGUACAAACAUACAGACCCGUUGACGGCACACGUCCGUAUAUUUCCAUCUCUGUCGUUUUGGUGUGGUUUAUCAGCUUAUUUGACUAUCACCUAUUCUAGAGAAAGUGAGAAAAGAAAGAGUUUUGUUUGUGUGUUGAAAUUGAGUGAGUGAGGGUAUGCACUAGAUUUCAAGUACUCACUAUCUUCCUGCUCCUUCCAACUUCAUUUUCGUUUUACGUGUGGCUAUCACAAGUAACGGAGUGUCACGAUGCAAUCAAUUAGAGAACCGCGAAGUGUCGAGCUUAGAGAAAGCAAUAAAUUUAUGCGAUCAAUUUCACAUGGUCGUGCGAGUACCUGGCGACGAAAUCGAAUUAGACCGGACAAUCAGCUUUCAGCAUCUGCUCUCUAUCAACUAAAUAAUGGCGGUUCACCGAAUGGAGUGAGAUCUCAAUUUUCACCUUCGGAUCUUUCUAUCCAUACACCAGUUCAUCAUGUUGGAAGUCGAGUUCGAGUGUCCAGUGUCAACCAGAUUUGCGAUUCGAACAGUGCUCCACAAUUCAGUAUCGAGUGAGUUUUUUAUUUUUUGUUAAAAUUUAAAAUGAGUUCUCUAAUUUUAAAAUUUAAAAGAUAAAUUUCAUGUGACAUUUUUUGUGAUAAAAUGUAUAAUUUUUUGCGGCUCGCAUUACAUAAAAACCUGAGCUGAGACAAAACAAAUUGAACCAAAAAAUUAAUUCGGUUCGAAUGAUUUAAUUGAUUAAAAAAAAGAGCGAUUUCACUAAAAUUUAAAUAUUUCAAAAUUAAUUUAACCUUUAGAGAGGUGAAAAUUUUUGGUCUAAAAAGUGUUUUUUUUUUUAAUUUUUCGUUAAAAUAUUGAACAUUUUUUCUCAAAUUUUUUGCAGCACCCAAAAUUAUAUUUAGUCUGCUAAUUUCAAAAAAAAAACCCCGGUUAGGAUACUUCAUAUUUCUAGAAUGAAAAAUACUCGGUUAAAAUUUUUUCCAAAAAAUAAUGGGAUACGUUAUACUAAAACCAUAAAACCUGACUAUAACCCUUUUGUUUCAAAUAUCUCGUCGGUUUUUUUCAAUGAGUAUUGAGAAUCCGGUUUUACGAUUUUUUUCUACUUUUAUCCCAUUCUAUCGUCGUAGGCGGUGUCUCUUUUCACAACUAAACCUUUCGUCAGUUUGCUUUCUCAAGCAGUAAGAUUGAAUUGAAAGAAGGAAGGACUCGUCCGUCCAUAUGUUUCAACUAUCAAUCAAACUUCAUGACCCGAUUUUAAACCCCGGAUUCAAAUUCUUGAGCGAAUUUUCCUACUUGUUUCUCUAACUUUCCAUUCGCUGAGAAAUUAUUUUACCAUAUGACACUGACGCCUGCUCAUCGAGAAUCAUAUUUCAUCGUUUCUUUUAUGCUUUACAUAUAUUUUAUCCACGCCGAUGAGUCGAGAAAAUCCCGUAGUUUAUUGUUAUUUAUUGUUAGACGCUGCUCUUUUCUUUUAACUUUUUGAUUUGUUUUAGUAAGAAUGGAAAGUAAUCAAUUCAAUUGAAUAUAAACGUAGAGAUGUGCAAUGGAAAUUAGAUUUGGUCGGAACAUUAGGAGAAUUUAUGUGUCGGCGUUAGGAAUUGUCAAUGUAGUACAUGGUCCCUACGAAUCACUCAGUUCUUAAUGUUUUGUACACUUUUUCCAAAUACUUGUUUCAAAAACUUUGCAACGAACUUGGCACCUAUCACAUUUGAUAUUCAUUUCGUCGUUCCCUUGAGAUUUUUAACUUGUACUCAAAUAAAAUGUUUCUUGCUUUGUCACAUUGCACAAAUGUUGCAAAUGUCACACGAAUUUAUCGCAAGAAGAAGUGUCUGAGAACCAAGGAGUGCAUAUGUGAGAUAAUGGGUCAUUCUUCCCUCGGAGCACAGCUACAUCUAAUUGGGACUCUUCUUGUCCCCAUUAUUCAUAUAUCGUCUCGCCCUUCUCUAUCUGCCUGUGCCUUUUCCACUUUCGAUGAACCUCUUCGGACAUGAAGAGCAUCUUAUCCAACAGUGUCAAAAGCAUUAAUUCUUUGCUUUUCUUCACAAAUGAACGUUCACACUGUUCUUGUCAUUUUAAAUUGAAUCGAUUUGUUUGUUGUUAAGAUUCAUCUCGCGUCACUGAGAAUUGUAUUUGUUUUAUAUCCUGUCCGAUUUAUCUUUUCUGAAUUCAAUUAGAUCAAAUAUAUUAUGCACGCAAUCAGGCUCGCCAGUCGUUCUUGCAUCACUUUGCCUUUUUAUUGUUCGAGUUCCCCCUGUUCUACAUUCGGCAAUUUAUUUUGACAGUUUAUCAAUUAGUAUUCAUUCUUUAGAGAAUUCUCCCCAGUUUUCCAAUAUUUGAUAAAUUAUGAAAGCGGCUUUCGUAAGUAUGAGAAGAAUUGGUUCGUCUCCCGUUUGGGUUAGUAAAACGAAAUAAAAUGCGCAUAUUGCAUGCACACAUCCAAACGACGACAUUCAUCCGGAAAAGAGCGGCAUCACGACGGGAGAUAAAGAUGGCAAGUCGUAAAAGAAGGUGAUACUGUAAUGGUGAAUUGGUGACACCCACGAAUCUCUUCUGCCAUUUUUGUACUCUAAUGAAUCACAAAAGUAUCAUUACCGCCGUUUGUUUGCUAGAUUCGUCAUUCUUUCUGUUCUCUAGGUCUUCCCUCCGAAAUCUGAGUUCGUUUGAAUUGAGAAUUUCAAAAAAAAAGAAUCUUCAAAUUUUACGAUCAAAUAAUAUCUAAACUUAGGCAUUCCCACUUUGUUGGAAAAUGUUUAAUAAGCUUUUCUCAUAUUUCGUGCAAUUAUUAGUUUUUCUUCCAAUUUAUAUAAUUCUGAAACAUAUUUAAAACGUCCACACUUCAUUCAUGAGCCUUUUUUGAAAAUUAGAAAGAAAUGCCCUUAUGUACACAUCUAAAUCCCAGUUAAUUCAUGUGUGUACGCGCUCUUGCGUCUGCUGGCUCUAACCACCACCGCCAGCCGUCACGUUUUCGUCCAAAAUGAGCACGAGAAGAAGACACCCUGUCUUGUCCCAAAUUGGCUCCCAUCCGUUUCCCGUUCUCUGCCCCACGCAUCGAUUCACUUCCACUUUUUCUUCCUUGAGUUUUUGUCUUUAACGAUCAGACAGCUGACUGCUUGACAAUACAAAAAACUCUAGUGUAAGUGGUCAUUGUCAGUGGUCAUUUCCUCAUUUUUUCGUUCAUGUUUUGAGUUCUCUUCUUUUUUUCUCUACUGCUUCGCGAGCAUUUUUUACUUCGAGGUAUCAUUUCUCACUUACUUCCGUUGAACGGAUUUUCACAGCUUGGUGGGAAAGUGUAACAGUUGAAACGACAUUUUGAAUAAAAGAAAUGUAACCUUGAAUCUUACAAACUGUGCAGCCGACAAUGUUUUCGUUUCUUUCUUUUCUCUUGAUCACUUCUUUUUGGCAACCACUUUGAAUUCUUUUUGUUUCCGCAAUACUUUCAUGCUUUAGCCUAACUCAAAAUCAUUCUUUCAUUGAUUUUUCUAGAUAUUCAAUGAAGCUAUGUCAUUAGUGUCAGGAAAAACGGAGAGCUCGGCACGAUGGUCUAUACGGCCUUCGUGUUCAUGUAAUGAUUCUUUGUUCACAAUAUCUGACACUGAAUGUUCGGAAAUUGAAGCAGAUAUGCGACGCAAAGAUCGUCAUAAUUGGAAGAAAAGGUGCCUUUCAUAAUAAAAAAAAAAUUUUAAAAGUUUUUUUUUCAAUAGUUAAAUUUCAACUUUCAGUCAACGCCGCAGUGUUCACAACAUUGGAAAUCCGGUUCGAAAUUCGUUUGUGGAUGGAAUAAAAACUACAUCGACUCCAAAAAAUCAG
Molecule: small RNA, 5411 nt
Filed under: Caenorhabditis elegans
Lineage: Eukaryota; Metazoa; Nematoda; Chromadorea; Rhabditida; Rhabditidae
Description: Unclassified non-coding RNA K03H4.10
Source: RNAcentral